Molecule: ribosomal RNA, 465 nt
Filed under: uncultured Burkholderiales bacterium
Lineage: Bacteria; Pseudomonadati; Pseudomonadota; Betaproteobacteria; Burkholderiales
Description: partial 16S ribosomal RNA
Source: RNAcentral
GACUACUGGGGUAUCUAAUCCUGUUUGCUCCCCACGCUUUCGUGCAUGAGCGUCAGUGUUAUCCCAGGAGGCUGCCUUCGCCAUCGGUGUUCCUCCGCAUAUCUACGCAUUUCACUGCUACACGCGGAAUUCCACCUCCCUCUGACACACUCUAGCCUUGCAGUCACAAGUGCAGUUCCCAGGUUAAGCCCGGGGAUUUCACACCUGUCUUACAAAGCCGCCUGCGCACGCUUUACGCCCAGUAAUUCCGAUUAACGCUCGCACCCUACGUCUUACCGCGGCUGCUGGCACGUAGUUAGCCGGUGCUUAUUCUGCGGGUACCGUCAUUAGCGUCUGGUAUUAGCAAACGCCGUUUCGCUCCCGCCAAAAGUGCUUUACAACCCGAAGGCCUUCUUCACACACGCGGCAUUGCUGGAUCAGGCUUGCGCCCAUUGUCCAAAAUUCCCCACUGCAGCCUCCCGUAGG